AUUUUAAUAGUUUAAGAAAAACCUUGAUUUUGUAAUUCAAAGAUACUUUAGUGAUGUUUAAGAUC
RNAcentral lists this transfer RNA (65 nucleotides) under Crenidorsum turpiniae. Its description in RNAcentral is "tRNA-Thr". The record is from RNAcentral. Lineage: Eukaryota; Metazoa; Arthropoda; Insecta; Hemiptera; Aleyrodidae.